RNAcentral lists this ribosomal RNA (850 nucleotides) under uncultured bacterium. RNAcentral describes it as "bacterial SSU rRNA". It matches the Rfam family "Bacterial small subunit ribosomal RNA", at positions 31 to 896 of the family's 1533-position model. The record is from RNAcentral.
GAACGCUGGCGGCGUGCUUAACACAUGCAAGUCGAACGGAAAGGCCUUUUCGGAGGUGCUCGAGUGGCGAACGGGUGAGUAACACGUGGGUGAUCUGCCCUGCACUCUGGGAUAAGCCUGGGAAACUGGGUCUAAUACCGGAUAGGACCGCACUUUAGUGUGUGUGGUGGAAAGUUUUUUCGGUGUAGGAUGAGCCCGCGGCCUAUCAGCUUGUUGGUGGGGUAAUGGCCUACCAAGGCGGCGACGGGUAGCCGGACUGAGAGGUUGGUCGGCCACAUUGGGACUGAGAUACGGCCCAGACUCCUACGGGAGGCAGCAGUGGGGAAUAUUGCACAAUGGGCGCAAGCCUGAUGCAGCGACGCCGCGUGGGGGAUGACGGCCUUCGGGUUGUAAACUCCUUUCGCCAGGGACGAAGCGUUUUGUGACGGUACCUGGAGAAGAAGCACCGGCUAACUACGUGCCAGCAGCCGCGGUAAUACGUAGGGUGCAAGCGUUGUCCGGAAUUACUGGGCGUAAAGAGCUCGUAGGUGGUUUGUCACGUCGUCUGUGAAAUUCCACAGCUUAACUGUGGGCGUGCAGGCGAUACGGGCUGACUUGAGUACUGUAGGGGUAACUGGAAUUCCUGGUGUAGCGGUGAAAUGCGCAGAUAUCAGGAGGAACACCGAUGGCGAAGGCAGGUUACUGGGCAGUUACUGACGCUGAGGAGCGAAAGCAUGGGUAGCAAACAGGAUUAGAUACCCUGGUAGUCCAUGCCGUAAACGGUGGGCGCUAGGUGUAGGGGCCUUUUGGGGUUUCUGUGCCGUAGCUAACGCAUUAAGCGCCCCGCCUGGGGAGUACGGCCGCAAGGCUA